UACAGAGGGUGCGAGCGUUGUCCGGAAUCACUGGGCGUAAAGCGCACGUAGGCGGGUCUUUAAGUCGGAGGUGAAAUCCUGGAGCUCAACUCCAGAACUGCCUUCGAUACUGAGGAUCUCGAGUCCGGGAGAGGUGAGUGGAACUGCGAGUGUAGAGGUGAAAUUCGUAGAUAUUCGCAAGAACACCAGUGGCGAAGGCGGCUCACUGGCCCGGUACUGACGCUGAGGUGCGGAAAGCGUGGGGAGCAAACAGG
RNAcentral lists this ribosomal RNA (254 nucleotides) under uncultured bacterium. Its description in RNAcentral is "partial 16S ribosomal RNA". It matches the Rfam family "Bacterial small subunit ribosomal RNA", at positions 524 to 776 of the family's 1533-position model. The record is from RNAcentral.